GACGAACGCUGGCGGCGUGCUUAACACAUGCAAGUCGAACGGAAAGGCCCUGCUUUUGUGGGGUGCUCGAGUGGCGAACGGGUGAGUAACACGUGAGUAACCUGCCCUUGACUUUGGGAUAACUUCAGGAAACUGGGGCUAAUACCGGAUAGGAGCUCCUGCUGCAUGGUGGGGGUUGGAAAGUUUCGGCGGUUGGGGAUGGACUCGCGGCUUAUCAGCUUGUUGGUGGGGUAGUGGCUUACCAAGGCGUUGACGGGUAGCCGGCCUGAGAGGGUGGCCGGCGACAUUGGGACUGCGAUACGGCCCAGACUCCUACGGGAGGCAGCAGUGGGGAAUAUUGCACAAUGGGCGGGAGCCUGAUGCGGCAACCCCGCGUGCGGGAUGACGGCCUUCGGGUUGUAAACCGCUUUCGCCUGUGACGAAGCGUGAGUGACGGUAAUGGGUAAAGAAGCACCGGCUAACUACGUG
RNAcentral lists this ribosomal RNA (468 nucleotides) under uncultured bacterium. Its description in RNAcentral is "partial 16S ribosomal RNA". It matches the Rfam family "Bacterial small subunit ribosomal RNA", at positions 28 to 507 of the family's 1533-position model. The record is from RNAcentral.